Long non-coding RNA from Harpia harpyja (harpy eagle), 227 nucleotides. RefSeq lists it as uncharacterized. The record is from RefSeq and is a predicted model, not a curated record. NCBI's taxonomy places the organism in Eukaryota, Metazoa, Chordata, Aves, Accipitriformes, Accipitridae. The transcript is spliced from 2 exons.
CCUAUAGGGAUCAGACCCACCCAUGGAGGCCAGACCCUAUAGGGACCCUCCCCCCCCACCCCACUGAUCCCCUAUAGACCUCACCCUAUAGGGACCGGCCCCCUCACCUCCUUCCCUCCCCUCUCCAGGUUCUGGGGGAAGUUCCCGGACCAGAGCGACGCUGAGACAGGUGGGUGACAACGAGGGACAGCCUUGGGGACGUGGGUGACAAUAAACCGGUGACAAAA